GACAUAGAGACACUGCAUAUUUUACCAAGGCUUUGACUGGAAUGGCAUGCUUUCAAAUAUAAACAGACGGCUUUAAGGAAUCAGAGUUGACCUAUAGUGCCCAUCAAAGCCCUUGGGAAAACUGGCUUCAUACUGUAUCCACCCAGUGGAUUCUUCUUGCCCAGAUGGAGCCCAUGUAUCAAGGGCUGGGCUGUGAAAGAGAUUGGAGAGGCAGGUGCCUGUGAGAGAAGCUUCUACCAGCCUGGGAAGUCAGGUCUUCCAUGAGUGAGGGGAGAACUUGACAGCAUGGACAUUGCCACUUGCUUCCUUCAGUCUCCUGGAGUCCCCAUGUCCUGAACACAGAGGAGGCACCCAAAUGCUUGCUGAAGCCACAUCCCUGGACCAAGUGACCUGACCCUCACCUGGAGGACCUUCACCUUCACCUCUCACCUGGAGGACCCUCUCACCUGGAAGACUCUCUCACCUGGAGGACCACCCCACCUGAAGGACUCCCAACUGGAGGACCCUCUUACCUGGGGGACCCCCUCCGCUGGAGGACCCUCUCACCUGGAGGACCCUCUUACCUGGAGGGCCCUUCACCUGGGGGACUCCCCCACCUAGAGGAUCCUCUUACCUGGAGGUCCCCUCACCUGGGGAACCCCCCCCCCACCUAGAGGAUCCUCUUACCUGGAGGGCCC
RNAcentral lists this long non-coding RNA (677 nucleotides) under Homo sapiens (human). RNAcentral describes it as "HSALNT0235526". Lineage: Eukaryota; Metazoa; Chordata; Mammalia; Primates; Hominidae. The record is from RNAcentral.